UUCGGCUAGGGGGCCAUCCCGGCUUACCAACCCGAUGCAAACUGCGAAUACCGGAGAAUGUUAUCACGGGAGACACACGGCGGGUGCUAACGUCCGUCGUGAAGAGGGAAACAACCCAGACCGCCAGCUAAGGUCCCAAAGUCAUGGUUAAGUGGGAAACGAUGUGGGAAGGCCCAGACAGCCAGGAUGUUGGCUUAGAAGCAGCCAUCAUUUAAAGAAAGCGUAAUAGCUCACUGGUCGAGUCGGCCUGCGCGGAAGAUGUAACGGGGCUAAACCAUGCACCGAAGCUGCGGCAGCGAACGUAUCACUUAAAGCGAUUCAGCGGGUUACGAUUGACGGAGCGAAGCGACGUCAAAGCGUAUACAAAGUCGAGUCGGUUUAAGGAUACGUUCGUUGGGUAGGGGAGCGUUCUGUAAGCCUGUGAAGGUGUGUCGUGAGGCAUGCUGGAGGUAUCAGAAGUGCGAAUGCUGACAUAAGUAACGAUAAAGCGGGUGAAAAGCCCGCUCGCCGGAAGACCAAGGGUUCCUGUCCAACGUUAAUCGGGGCAGGGUGAGUCGACCCCUAAGGCGAGGCCGAAAGGCGUAGUCGAUGGGAAACGGGUUAAUAUUCCCGUACUUGGUGUUACUGCGAAGGGGGGACGGAGAAGGCUAUGUUGGCCGGGCGACGGUUGUCCCGGUUUAAGCGUGUAGGCUGGUUUUCCAGGCAAAUCCGGAAAAUCAAGGCUGAGGCGUGAUGACGAGGCACUACGGUGCUGAAGCAACAAAUGCCCUGCUUCCAGGAAAAGCCUCUAAGCAUCAGGUAACAUCAAAUCGUACCCCAAACCGACACAGGUGGUCAGGUAGAGAAUACCAAGGCGCUUGAGAGAACUCGGGUGAAGGAACUAGGCAAAAUGGUGCCGUAACUUCGGGAGAAGGCACGCUGACACGUAGGUGAAGUGAUUUACUCAUGGAGCUGAAGUCAGUCGAAGAUACCAGCUGGCUGCAACUGUUUAUUAAAAACACAGCACUGUGCAAACACGAAAGUGGACGUAUACGGUGUGACGCCUGCCCGGUGCCGGAAGGUUAAUUGAUGGGGUCAGCGCAAGCGAAGCUCCUGAUCGAAGCCCCGGUAAACGGCGGCCGUAACUAUAACGGUCCUAAGGUAGCGAAAUUCCUUGUCGGGUAAGUUCCGACCUGCACGAAUGGCGUAAUGAUGGCCAGGCUGUCUCCACCCGAGACUCAGUGA
Molecule: ribosomal RNA, 1224 nt
Filed under: Salmonella enterica subsp. enterica serovar Derby
Lineage: Bacteria; Pseudomonadati; Pseudomonadota; Gammaproteobacteria; Enterobacterales; Enterobacteriaceae
Description: bacterial LSU rRNA
Rfam family: Bacterial large subunit ribosomal RNA
Source: RNAcentral